GGGGAUUUAGCUCAGCGGCAUAAGCACCUGCCUUGCAAGCAGGUGGUCGUGAGUUCCAUCCCCA
RNAcentral lists this transfer RNA (64 nucleotides) under Cavia porcellus (domestic guinea pig). It matches the Rfam family "tRNA", at positions 1 to 62 of the family's 71-position model. From Rfam's summary of the family: Transfer RNA (tRNA) molecules are approximately 80 nucleotides in length. Their secondary structure includes four short double-helical elements and three loops (D, anti-codon, and T loops). Lineage: Eukaryota; Metazoa; Chordata; Mammalia; Rodentia; Caviidae. The record is from Rfam by way of RNAcentral.